Poeciliopsis prolifica (blackstripe livebearer) is the source of this 2637-nucleotide RNA transcript. It is a transcript of the gene named ring finger protein 183, with no coding region annotated. The transcript is spliced from 3 exons. The record is from RefSeq and is a predicted model, not a curated record. Lineage: Eukaryota; Metazoa; Chordata; Actinopteri; Cyprinodontiformes; Poeciliidae.
GCUCCGGCGCCUCGGAUCGUGUCGGAUCAGGUGCGUCUCAUCAGGUUUUAUUCUGCAGGAAGGAGAACCGAGUGUUUUCUGGCUGAACGUCCUGGUUGAGCUGCAGCUGGUCGGACCGGUCUGACCAGAACACGGCGAGGGCGGACGGGCGAGCGACAGGCAGAGAGAGAGGAGGGUGUGAAGAAGACGAUAAGAGCCCAGGUUUGUCAGACCGGGUCAGAACCGCUGAGCUUUCUUUACUCAAUGAUGAAGAUUUUUGAUCCCAGUUGUCGCAGCAGGAUUACCUGAGCGUCUGGAGCGGCGCGGAAAAAAACGGAUCGGACCUUUUCCGACUUAUCAGCUCUUCAGUGAAGGACAGCCAUCAUGAGCGGACAGGGCGAGGGGCAUCGGGGGUCCAGGAUGCCCCAGAACGUCAAGCCUAAACCGGGCCAGCCGGCUCCGACCCAGAAGGACCGGCCCCAGAAGGCGCGCCGCUCCCGCAGCAGCGACUCAGAGCGAGGGAGGAGGCGGGAGCGUCACCACAGUGACCGGCACCGGCGGGGCCGCAGCGAGGAGACCCGGCACCGGCGGGACGGGAAGGACGCGGAGCGGCGGGACACGCCCCCCAUGGACCUUCUGGGGGACACGGAGUGCGCCGUGUGCUUCAGUUCCUACGACAACGUCUUCAAGACGCCCAAGCUGCUGGCCUGCGGUCACACCUUCUGCCUGGAGUGCCUGGCGCGCAUCAACGUCACGUCGCCGGAGAUCAAGACGCUGUCGUGCCCCGUGUGCCGCGUCCUGACCGAGCUGCCCCGCGGCCGCGACCUGCCCCGCCUGGGCAACAACCAGGACGUCAUCGGCCGCCUGCCGGCCGAAAUGCGCCACGCGCUGUCCAUCCGCUUCCAGCGCAGCAAAGGCCGGCUGCUGCUGAAGCACCCGCCCCCCGCCGCCAAGUCCGCCGCCAUCAGCCUGCCCGUCAAGAAGCACCAGGUCCCGCCGGCGGCCGUCCAGGGCGGCGAACUGGCCGCCGCCGAGGAGGGCGGCGCCCCGCCCACCAUGGUGGACGUGGGCAGACCGCCGAGCAGGAUGAGGGGACGCAUGCGGCUCCUGUUCCACUCCGACCGCUGCUACUACGCCGUGGUGGCGUCCAUCAUCACCAUCACCGUGGCGCUGAUGAUGGUGGGCAUCCUGGCCUUCAUCAUCGUCCCCAGAGUGACAAUUAACACUGGACCCGGCAGACCCGGCGGGAACUUUACCGGCUCCUCCUCACAGGAGAGCAGCGAGAACUUUGGACCGAACUCACCCUGAGGGGGCGGGGCCUGAGCGGCAGGGCCUGAGGGGUGGGGCCUGAGGGGCGCUGAGGUUUUACUCCGGGUGUGAAACGGUGAAGGAAGGAGCAUUGAGGAAGAACAAGAUGGAGGUGUUUUUCCCAGCUGAGCAUGAAGAACUUUGACCCCAGAGGGGUCAGGAAGGAUCGCGCUGAGUUUUCACUCCAGGUAUGAAGCGGUGAAGGAAUGAGGAAGAACAAGAUGGCGGCGUUUCUCCAGGCUGACUGUGAAGGAUACGGGGUUCCAUCGGUGAUGAUUCAGUGAAAAUGAACAGCAAUAAUUUAUUAUUUAACCAUCAUAAGAGAAAAAAUGAAAAUGAAUAUUUCAGUCAUCGAUUCAUCAUAUUUCUAUGCUCAUUGUUUAUUUGCCAAAUUAAAUAUUUACCUUCAAAUUAAAAAUGUUUCCCCAAGCUAAAUAUUUAAUCAGUAACCUAAAUAAUUAGCUGGUUAAAUAUCUGCUUUGAACCUGUGACAUUUACAAAUGAAUGAAUGUAAAACUGUAACUGUAAACCGUUUCCUGGAUAAUUACUGGUUUGUUUUUGACUUCCGACUGACAGAAUCUGACUGUGAACCAGUCGGGGGGAGAAUCGUCUCCAGACCACGAAAAGCACUAAACCUUCUGAAACUCCUUAUUUAUACCCUGAACUCUAAACAGAAACGAUGAGCAGAUAUUCACAGAACCGUGACACCUGACACCCUCCUGUGCUGAAAGCACUUCAGCUGAGAGCGGGCCCAGUUCAGGCCCAGUUCAGGCCCAGUUCAGGUCCAGGUCGGGUCCAGGUGGACCAGCCGGUUCCGCCGCAUGCCGACCCGCUGCUUGAUGCCAGGUCCGUAACCCGGGGCAACAGACUGAAUGCGGGAAUGUCAGGAAACAUCCAGGCGACCAUUACAGGAACAACACCAGAAAUAAACAGAAAUGCUUUUAAUUUCUGCUCCCUUCAGGCCUGGACUUUGACUAGACCAUUGGAACAUCUGGAUUCUCUUCUUUUGCUGCUGUUCUGUUGCAGAUUGGGAGUGUAGCUCUGAAAAUCACUUUAGCUCUGCAGGGGGAGGAUGGAAAACAAUUUGAUUUGAAAAAUAAAAACCUAAAGGAAGGAAUAUUUUAUUUUAAUUUUAUUAUUUUAGUUCAUUUAGUAGUUUGGGUUAAACCAGGGCUCUGGAUCCUGGCUAAAAUAAUCGUCAACUAAAACACAACUGCAGGUUUCAACAGGUUUUAUAAAAUAAGUCCAUUAAAUUUCCACAACAGAAAUAUGUCAAAGUGCCAGUAAUGUUUGUUUAAAUGUUUUUUCAUAUAAUUUUUGGAUUUUUGUGCUUUGCAGCAUCUCCACAAU